GAUGACAUCUGAACGAUGGGAUAAAGCCAAGCUGGUAUGGGUCCUGGCUGCUAAUAACAAAAUAAUUCCCCCCAGGAUGCUGUGAUGACCUAUGUGACAGCAUCUAUGCAGAACAGAGCUGCUCUGCUAGCAGCGGGGCGGCACUGUCAUUCCAUGGGACUCAGCAUCUGGGUCCUCAUAAGGCAGGGGCUGAGAUGCCUGCCGGCUAAAGCUCCCCCCCAACUCGCAUCCACCUGGAUCUCCUCCCUUACACGGAGAUGACAAGGGCCAGAGUCCAGGCUGCCCACUCUCUUGGUUUAGAGAUGACAGUUUCUUUUAAGGAGCAUUAAUUGGCCCUUGAAAGUUCAAACUCAUAACUUGCUUCUUAAAUUGGGUGGAGGAAGGGAAGCCAAAGGUGUUAUUUUUAUAUCCGAGUGCACAGUCACAGAGCUGAAUCCUGAUUGGUAGGAUGAUGAUAGGAUGAUUUGAUUCCCCCAAAUCAUCUUUGGAAAACUGGGAAACAUACAAUAUGCUUAUCCUUGCUCAAUUACCCAAUGCCAACCCCCAGAGGCUGCUGGAACAUGGAAACUAAUCAGAUGAUUCUUGUCUCUAAGGAGCUCAUGGAAGAGGGGACAGAGCAGUACCCCAUCCUCCUGCCCUCCAUCAGUCUACCCUUGUGUGAUAUGCCCACACAGAUUUAGAUAACUUUCCAAGAAAAAUACAAAACAACUAACUGCAACGAGUUUGUUCUGUGAUCAUAAUGGUAACGAAUAAUAAUAAUGUCACCAACAGCUAACACUGAAUGCUCGCUCAAUGCUAAGCACUCUGCUGAGCACCCGCACCCCCACCCCUAUGUCCUUUGGGGUAGGAACAGGAAUGAAGAGGGAAAUCUGUUAGGUGCAGGUUAGCGAACUCUGAAUUGACCACACACCACCUGAGACCCAGAAAUCCAGCAGCGACCUGGCAGACGGAGCGAGGCUGCUUGCAGCGUGCAUGGUGAGUCAGCACCAUUCAAAAGACCCCAGGAGACGCAGGCACUUGGGCAUUCGAGACACUCAAACAUCUGCAACCUGGCCCCGAGCCAGGGCAACGGAGCAGCGGGCUUCGGAUUUGCAGAUAGGUUCAAAAUUAAAAGUGUUAUUUCCAAGAGGAUGGAAAUUGAAAGACUCUGAACAAAGAUUCAUACAUUGACCCAAAGUGCUGGCAUUUCUGUUUUAUAAAGAUGUUUGCUGUGUUUAAUAUGUAGUAAGAAUGGUCGAUGUUGAUUGAGUGCUUACUGUACCCAGGGGGCUAAGCACUCUAAAUUCCUUAACCCCUGGGCCGCCCCCAGGGCUGCAAGGGGAGGAGAUUUCUUGUAACCAUGCCCUUUUGGCCUGCUGGCACCGGACUCUGCCCCACCCCCACCGCCCCACCGAAUUCCAAGCUGCCCUUGGAUUGGCGGCGGGGGUCCUCCCCCCAAGCCUGGCUUCUCCCACCACUUGCUCCCUUAGGCGGCUCAGUUUCCCCCUGUCCUACUGCAGCAGAAGCUGCUUUCAAUUGGCAGUGGGCACAGAAGGGCGGGGGAGCAGUUGGAAAGAGAAUUCGUUCCAAGUUGAUGGGGGAUGACUGUGGCUGCUAGGCGACUUGUAUUUUAUGAGAAAUCGGGGAUGAACUGUCUACACGGAGGAGAUCGCGUCCAUUCCCCAUCCCUCUCUUUAAAGUACUGCGCUGGGUGGCUUCUCGAGUCCCAGCUGGGGGCUCAGUACCAUCCCUACCCUGCCUCUCUCCUCUCUCCUUCUCCCGACCCUGGGGUGGCACCGAGCCCCUCAGCGGAAGCCCCGCUGGCUCAGUACCUGCAGGCCCUGCGCCUGGGAUCGCCCCUCCUCUCCCUAAAUACCAUAUAGGGCUUGCCCAUUCAUCCGUUCGUUCGUUCGUUCCAUGUGCUCGGAAUGCAGCAGGGCCCCGCCCAGCGUGGGUGCUUGGUUAAUGGCUGUGGGACCAACGCUUACCCCCCCGGAACCGGGUGCUGGCGAUGGCAGCAGCCGCCGGUCCACAGGGCACAUUUUGGAUUUUGACCUUCCAGCUGCUUUAACCCAGGCGGGCCCCGCCGUUCCGCGGCCAGCGCAGACUGCACCGCCCUUCGCUCACCGGGGAGGGGGAGGCUACAGGGCGCUUUUGGAUGAGCUGGCCUCAGCACCCGCCCCCUUUCCGCCCGGGUUCGGUCCAGGGGGCCUCAAGAUGUCAUCAAGUUGAGAUGAGGUCAUUCUGGAUGAGAGUGGGCCCUAAAUCCAGUGACUGGUGUCCUUACAAGAAGAGGGAAACGUGGACCCAGACACAUGACCCACACAGGGAGAGUGCCAUGUGAGGACGGAGGUGGAGAUUGGAGUGAUGGCUCUACAAGCAAGGACGCAAAAGGUUGCCAACAGCCACCAGGAGCCGGGAGGGAGGCAUGGGGCAGUAAAGGUGAUUCUGCAAGCGGAAAUCCUGCAAAGCAAUCUUGACAAUUGUAGGGUAUUGUGAAUCCACUAGGAACCACCGAAUUUUGGUGAAUUGACGUUUUGUGAAUUUUAUCUCAAUAAAAACUGCUUUUAUUUUA
This is a long non-coding RNA of Felis catus (domestic cat), 2554 nucleotides long. RefSeq lists it as uncharacterized. The record is from RefSeq and is a predicted model, not a curated record. NCBI's taxonomy places the organism in Eukaryota, Metazoa, Chordata, Mammalia, Carnivora, Felidae. The transcript has 2 exons.